This 406-nucleotide ribosomal RNA is filed under the name uncultured bacterium. RNAcentral describes it as "partial 16S ribosomal RNA". It matches the Rfam family "Bacterial small subunit ribosomal RNA", at positions 30 to 526 of the family's 1533-position model. The record is from RNAcentral.
AUUGAACGCUGGCGGCAUGCCUAACACAUGCAAGUCGAGCGAGCGGCGGACGGGUGAGUAAUGUCUGGGAAACUGCCUGAUGGCGGGGGAUAACUACUGGAAACCGUAUCUAAUACCGCAUACAAUCCGAUUUGCCCAGAUGGGAUUAGCUGGUAGGUGGGGUAACGGCUCACCUAGGCGACGAUCCCUAGCUGGUCUGAGAGGAUGACCAGCCACACUGGAACUGAGACACGGUCCAGACUCCUACGGGAGGCAGCAGUGGGGAAUAUUGCACAAUGGGCGAAAGCCUGAUGGAGCAAUGCCGCGUGUGUGAAGAAGGUCUUCGGGUUGUAAAGCACUUUUGGCGGGGAAGCGGUACCCAAAGAAGAAGCAACGGCUAACUCCGUGCCAGCAGCCGCGGUAAUAC